Molecule: transfer RNA, 86 nt
Filed under: Cavenderia fasciculata SH3
Lineage: Eukaryota; Evosea; Eumycetozoa; Acytosteliales; Cavenderiaceae
Description: Dictyostelium fasciculatum SH3 tRNA
Rfam family: tRNA
About the family: Transfer RNA (tRNA) molecules are approximately 80 nucleotides in length. Their secondary structure includes four short double-helical elements and three loops (D, anti-codon, and T loops).
Source: Rfam by way of RNAcentral
GGGCUUGUAGCUCAGAUGGUAGAGCGCUCCGUUUGCAUUCAUCCCAGACUUCGGUGAGGCAUGGGGAUCGAUACCCCACUGGUCCA